Molecule: long non-coding RNA, 2147 nt
Organism: Equus caballus (horse)
Lineage: Eukaryota; Metazoa; Chordata; Mammalia; Perissodactyla; Equidae
Source: Ensembl
UGAAAACCAGCAUAACCCCCUGCCCAGCCUCCACCAAGAAAUGAAAAGAAUUGAUAGCGAAGAGACGCCUUGUUUUGAGCGCUGGCAUCCAGCUCCCCCUUUCCAAGGACCCAGCUCCCCGUCUGGGAAUACAGCAGCUCCCCCCACCAAAAGGACGGAGGCCCCAGGGAGAGGAAGUGCUGGCUGCCACCCCAGCCCCGAGCCUCGCAGAGGGAAGUGGGAGCCGGAGCCCAGGCGCUGGCCUGGCGGGAAGGCCUGGGUGCCCGGCGUCCUGGGCAGCUGGGUGGGAAUCCCCCCAGGGACAGAAAGUGCCACCUGCAGCCACCACUGGGUGCAGGGCAGGUGGCCUCCCGCUCCCAUCGGCUACCGCCUCAGGAUUACCCAGAUCAGGCUCCUGGGGGAAACCCAUUUGGCUGCACAGUAAGAAAAGAGCUGCUCCUACGAUGCGAUGCUUUGCAGAUACUAGAGAACGUCCUGGGGGCCCAACUCACGCCCCCACUACUUACCCACCCCCACCUGCUCCCUCCGCACCACUUUCUCCCCAACACCCCCACACACACACACACCCACACACACUCUGCUGUGCCGUCUCCUCCGUGCACAUGGGACAACCUUCUGCAGCCUGAGAGGCUUGGAGGGGACGGCGGCUUAGAAACCUGUCCAUCACUGUCACCACCCACGGUGCCGAGGCCUCUGCUGGGGAGGAUGAGACCAGAUGAGAACGCCCGGGUGACCCGUUUGGAAGGACACCCUGCCAGGCCAAACCCUGCCUGCGUCACACCCCAGCCCUGACCGAAAUCAUGGGGGAACCUGUGUCGUGUUCACAUCUAAGGUCCUCCGCUCCCGCCUCGUUCCAGCCUCGGCACCGACAGGCUGGGGGUCCAUUUAGAGGACCGCUCAGCAGCUAGAAACAUUUCUCAGGUCCCUUCAGUUUAUGACGAAUGAGUCACAGACCCAGGUAAUCGGUGAGAGGAAAGGUAGAUUUACCAGGGCCUCAACUCAGGCCAGAACCUUCUACUUUUAGAUUCAUGGAAUAAUCGCCUUGGACAGGACCUCAGAGACCUGUAAACCCUUCCAGGUGAGGAAACAGGCCCAGAGAGGCAAAGUGACUCACCUGGGGGUGUUCAGGGAUUUGGGGCAAGGUGGCCAAGAACCUGGCUCUCCCGCUGCCUGGUCUGCUGGCUGCUGCACUAUGUUGGAAAUACGCUGAGAAACAUCUGAUCCAUGCUCCAAGAACAGGACCCUAAAUGAGGCACGACUACGGGCCCCGCCACCCACACUGCUCCCCUCAAGCUGGCAUCGCCUCCCAGGCGCCCCGGACCAGCACCACCCGGCUCCCAUCCGCCGCAGGACCCAGCGUGCAGACGCAGGUCUGCUAACAUUCUGGAUUUUUCCUCCUGGCUGUCGCUGUGCAGUGGAGAUUGCUCCCAACAGCAGGAGAGAGGAUGUUUGCACACGCUAAGAAGCCUCCCCACAUUCCAGGGUCCUGAAUUUCAAGCCGAGCUCAGUCCUUCUGGUGUUCAAGUUCGUUCAAUGUUGGCAAAAUUCAACUUCCUGUUUACAAGGGGGUGAGCGGGGAGGGGGCGAGGAAAGCCUUUUAAGAGAUUCCACAGGCGUCAGCCACCAGCAAGGGCUCGUGAAGCAUGUGGAUGAAUUGAGUGCGGAUGAAUCAAAAACAGGAGGCCUGAGUCUCCCUUGGAACAUACCCAGGCUUAAUAAUUAAACGAAAAAUAACUUGGCAAGGAGAUGUGGGGUUUUGCUGAACCCAAAACAUUUGAAAAGAUGUUUGACUAAUCCCAGCCGUGGGCGGGGACCAUCCUUUUUGAAAGGGCCGUGGUGGGUGUUAAACAGCUACAGGCCACACGCUGGAAACCCACAGGGCCCGGCGACUUUCAGUUUUCGCCUCCCCGUGAACAUCGAGGAAUCAAUUCACCUGGGGAGGGGGCAGAUUUUUCCCAAAGAUCUCAAGUUGUCGGCUCCCCCGGGACGAACGUCUUGACUUGGCCGUUCUCACACUUUAGCAAGCGGUCUCCGCUGGGGUGCUGAAUCCUGAGGGACUUUGGAAGAAAUAUUUUGGACGAUUCCAUUGCUUUUGAGACUAGAAGGCUUUUGAUUUUGAUUGACAAAGGAAAAUAAAAGCAGAAAUC